Alnus glutinosa is the source of this 1351-nucleotide long non-coding RNA. RefSeq lists it as uncharacterized. The record is from RefSeq and is a predicted model, not a curated record. The transcript is spliced from 5 exons. Lineage: Eukaryota; Viridiplantae; Streptophyta; Magnoliopsida; Fagales; Betulaceae.
UAUUUACAUUUACUGAGCAGGUCAGCCCCCUCACAUUUUGAAGCUCCUGUUGCGAGCCGUGAGUGUUUCAAAUCGUUCGAGUGGUUUUGUGAUUGAUGUCCAAAAUCAAUUAUUUACUCGUUUGUCAAAUAGCAUGAUUCAGUUGGCAAGACCUCUGUCAAGAUGGAGGGGAUCAUUUUGCUGUGUUGGAUGUCCAUGGGCUUUUCACAUAGAAGAAAUAUAUUUUGGUAGGGUCUACUGUGGAGUACUAAUUAAUAGUGAAGCAAGAGUUAUGUCUACCGGCAGGUGAUGAAGAUGAAUCGAUAUGGACAAGAGAAAAAACUUGGUUUUAAUAAAUUAAACGAAGAUGAUGAGUGAGAAAUGGGGUCAGAUCCAGUUAUUCGAUUACAACUACAAGUUUUACCUUUUCCUAAAAUGGCGAAGCCGCUUCCCAAGAAUCAGCUCCUUUUUGAAUUACCUACAGAUUUACACAUCCGACCAAGUUUCUCUUCAUGAAUUGUCUAUAUCCCUGUCAAAAGGUUGUAAAUUGUCGAGUAAUGUAAAUGAUGAACUCUGCUCUAUCUGUCAAGAUGGAGGGGAUCAUUUUGCUGUGAUUGAUAUCCAUGAGCUUUUCACAUAGAGUGUUUUCAUCUUCCAAGUGUUCCCUGUGGUACUGUAGAUAUUGCAAGAAUGUAAUGCUAAUGUUGUGGCAUCUGGAAGGGUUGCUGGAGUUGAUCCUGUAGAACAGAUAACCCAGUGAAGCAUUUGUAUUGUCAGAACUCUAGAGGUUGACUUUGGUGGGCAUGCAUCAUCCAGGUUCUAUAGUCACUAUUUUUGCCAUUAAAGUUUCUAGACAUGAGAUGCUCCAUUGUUUUCUUUUAGCAUGAACUUUUUUGUAUGUGAAUCCAAAUAUAAAAUGUUCAUAUGCAUCUGAACUUUUUUGUAUAUUUAUUUGUACAUUGCAUUAUAUGCUCUGAUACCAUGAAAGAUAAUAUAAUGCAAUGUACAAAUAAAUAUAAAGCGGAAUAUAAAUAAAGACACAGAAUUAUGUGGUUUGGACUAUGACUUACAUUCACAGGAUAAAGCUUAAAGGGCUACAUUUUGCUUUUAUUUCUUUGGUGAUGUUAACAAUAUAACAUGCUCCUACUUAUAGGAGAAUUAGGGUAGAUGAGAAUAAUACAAAUAGAUUUCAACUACAAUUAGGUAAUAGACUUCAACUGUAGCUAGGUCAUAGUCUUCAACUGUGACUAGGUGAUAGUCUCCAACUGUAGCUUGGAUUAUUGGACUCCAUAAUAUACUAUAACAUUCCCUGGGUGUGAUAAAGAUUACUUAUCAUGUUGACUGUUUGAAGGAUUACAAUAGUGAGGUUUUU